Molecule: ribosomal RNA, 253 nt
Filed under: uncultured bacterium
Lineage: Bacteria
Description: partial 16S ribosomal RNA
Rfam family: Bacterial small subunit ribosomal RNA
Source: RNAcentral
GACAGAGGGUGCAAACGUUGUUCGGAAUUACUGGGCGUAAAGCGCGUGUAGGCGGCAGGGCAUGUCGGAUGUGAAAUCCCGUGGCUCAACCACGGAAGUGCACCCGAAACUGCCCAGCUUGAGUCUCGGAGAGGAAGGCGGAAUGCUUGGUGUAGAGGUGAAAUUCGUAGAUAUCAAGCGGAACACCAGUGGCGAAGGCGGCCUUCUGGACGAUGACUGACGCUGAGACGCGAAAGCGUGGGGAGCAAACAGG